RNAcentral lists this ribosomal RNA (176 nucleotides) under Pseudoalteromonas sp. UCD-33C. RNAcentral describes it as "partial 16S ribosomal RNA". It matches the Rfam family "Bacterial small subunit ribosomal RNA", at positions 1 to 168 of the family's 1533-position model. Lineage: Bacteria; Pseudomonadati; Pseudomonadota; Gammaproteobacteria; Alteromonadales; Pseudoalteromonadaceae. The record is from RNAcentral.
UUUAAUUGAAGAGUUUGAUCAUGGCUCAGAUUGAACGCUGGCGGCAGGCCUAACACAUGCAAGUCGAGCGGUAACAGAGAGUAGCUUGCUACUCUGCUGACGAGCGGCGGACGGGUGAGUAAUGCUUGGGAAUAUGCCUUAUGGUGGGGGACAACAGUUGGAAACGACUGCUAAUA